This 410-nucleotide RNase P RNA is filed under the name Prevotella sp. RNAcentral describes it as "RNase P RNA component class A". It matches the Rfam family "Bacterial RNase P class A". Rfam says of the family: Ribonuclease P (RNase P) is a ubiquitous endoribonuclease, found in archaea, bacteria and eukarya as well as chloroplasts and mitochondria. Its best characterised activity is the generation of mature 5'-ends of tRNAs by cleaving the 5'-leader elements of precursor-tRNAs. The record is from RNAcentral. Lineage: Bacteria; Pseudomonadati; Bacteroidota; Bacteroidia; Bacteroidales; Prevotellaceae.
ACAGUGCUUCGGCUUGUCGCUGGUCUGUUAACAGGCGAGAGGAAAGUCCGGGCAGCAUAAGACGCUCCACUUCCGAAAGUAGAAGCUAUUGGUGACAAUAGGAGACGCAGAAGAGAAUAACCGCCUCGUUAAUCCUCAAGAACCCACAUCGUGGAAGCAUUCAGGAGAGGUAAGGGUGAGAAGGUGGUGUAAGAGACUACCAGGCACAGGGUGAUCUGUGUGCUGUGCUAUCUGGAGGCUGCAAGUUCAUGUAUACCGUCGUCUGAGGGUUGUCUGCCCGAUGGUCGUCCCCCUGGGAUCGGCAUCGACGGAGGGUAGAACGCUAGAGCUGCAGGGUGACUUGCAGAGUAGAUAAAUGACAGGCACUGACAUUGUCAGGACAGAACCCGGCUUAUAGGGGCACUGUUUCA